AUUGAACGCUGGCGGCAGGCCUAACACAUGCAAGUCGAACGGUAGCACAGAGAGCUUGCUCUCGGGUGACGAGUGGCGGACGGGUGAGUAAUGUCUAGGAAACUGCCUGAUGGGAGGGGGAUAACUACUGGAAACGGUAGCUAAUACCGCAUAACGUCGCAAGACCAAAGAGGGGGACCUUCGGGCCUCUUGCCAUCAGAUGUACCCAGAUGGGAUUAGCUAGG
RNAcentral lists this ribosomal RNA (224 nucleotides) under uncultured bacterium. Its description in RNAcentral is "partial 16S ribosomal RNA". It matches the Rfam family "Bacterial small subunit ribosomal RNA", at positions 30 to 249 of the family's 1533-position model. The record is from RNAcentral.